UCUCCGUAGGUGAACCUGCGGAAGGAUCAUUAUCGUACAACAUGUGAGGGGCAUGCGAGGGCUGUCGCUGUCCCUAGAGUCGUGCACGCGUGAGUGUGUCCUGUUGCAUAAUAAUCCGUCUCACCCUUGGUGCAUCACCGCGUGGGCACCCUUCGGGGUCAUCUCGGAGGGGCGCACGCGUUUACACAAAAACUCCCCUUUUAAAAGUGCAGAAUGACCACAUCUAUGCAAUAAAUACAACUUUCAACAACGGAACUCAUGACCCUCGCAUCUAUGAAG
RNAcentral lists this unclassified non-coding RNA (279 nucleotides) under plant metagenome. RNAcentral's name for it is "partial contains small subunit ribosomal RNA, internal transcribed spacer 1, and 5.8S ribosomal RNA". The record is from RNAcentral.